AGGAUGGGAAGGUGGCUCAGCUUGAACAUGUGUUUAUUCGGGGAAGCAAAGUCAGGUCCAUGAUCAUACCAGACAUGCUUAAGAACGCCCCAAUGUUCAAACGUUUAGAAGCUAGAAUUAAGGGGAAAGGUUCAUCACUUGGUGUUGGUCGGGGCCGUGCUGUUGCUAUGCGAGCUCGGGUAAGUAUUACAAUUACUUUUCACAAU
Long non-coding RNA from Helianthus annuus (common sunflower), 206 nucleotides. RefSeq lists it as uncharacterized. The record is from RefSeq and is a predicted model, not a curated record. The transcript has 3 exons. Lineage: Eukaryota; Viridiplantae; Streptophyta; Magnoliopsida; Asterales; Asteraceae.